Molecule: ribosomal RNA, 496 nt
Filed under: uncultured bacterium
Lineage: Bacteria
Description: bacterial SSU rRNA
Rfam family: Bacterial small subunit ribosomal RNA
Source: RNAcentral
GACGAACGCUGGCGGCGUGCUUAACACAUGCAAGUCGAGCGGAAAGGCCCUUUCGGGGGUACUCGAGCGGCGAACGGGUGAGUAACACGUGAGUAAUCUGCCCUUCACUCUGGGAUAGCCCUCCGAAAGGGGGAUUAAUACCGGAUACGACCACGGACCGCAUGGUGUGUGGUGGAAACUUUUUGGGUGGGGGAUGUGCUCGCGGCCUAUCAGCUUGUUGGUGGGGUAAUGGCCUACCAAGGCUUCGACGGGUAGCCGGCCUGAGAGGGUGACCGGCCACACUGGGACUGAGACACGGCCCAGACUCCUACGGGAGGCAGCAGUGGGGAAUAUUGGACAAUGGGCGGAAGCCUGAUCCAGCAACGCCGCGUGAGGGAUGACGGCCUUCGGGUUGUAAACCUCUUUCAGCUCCGGCGAAGCUGCCCUUUUUUGGGGGUGGUGACGGUAGGGGCAGAAGAAGGACCGGCCAACUACGUGCCAGCAGCCGCGGUAAGAC